AAGUCGUAACAAGGUCUCCGUAGGUGAACCUGCGGAGGGAUCAUUAACACGUUUCCAUAACGUUUAACUUUCUACACACCAAAUUGCGUGAAUUCAAUCGAAUCAACUUAUACCCGACUUGAGAGGGAGAGAACCUGUCUUUAUACACGGAGUGAUGAGUGUGCGUAUUUGUUAUGUUGGCAACAGCAUAACAUUAGGCAUGCGGUGUAUCUAGGCUUGUAAUGCUCGACAAUACGGGAUCUCUCUCAUUCAAGCUAUCAACAAUUAACCAAUGUUCCCUUCAUCGCUGGAACGAACAACACCCCUUUCACCCCUUUAUAACUAACUAGACUGAUAUUUCUUUUUGACAGUGAGGCUUGCUUUACUGUUUCAAGGAUUGAUUUUAAUCAAAUAUCUAAGCACAACUCUUAGCAACGGAUAUCUUGGUUCUC
This 431-nucleotide unclassified non-coding RNA is filed under the name fungal sp. RNAcentral describes it as "partial internal transcribed spacer region". The stretch from base 1 to 46 matches the Rfam family "Eukaryotic small subunit ribosomal RNA", at positions 1786 to 1831 of the family's 1831-position model. The record is from RNAcentral. Lineage: Eukaryota; Fungi.